This 406-nucleotide ribosomal RNA is filed under the name uncultured bacterium. RNAcentral's name for it is "partial 16S ribosomal RNA". It matches the Rfam family "Bacterial small subunit ribosomal RNA", at positions 30 to 526 of the family's 1533-position model. The record is from RNAcentral.
AUUGAACGCUGGCGACAGGCUUAACACAUGCAAGUCGAGCGAGCGGCGGACGGGUGAGUAAUGUCUGGGAAACUGCCUGAUGGAGGGGGAUAACUACUGGAAACGGUAGCUAAUACCGCAUACCAUCAGAUGUGCCCAGAUGGGAUUCUAUAGUGGGUGGGGUAAUGGCUCACCUAGGCGACGAUCCCUAGCUGGUCUGAGAGUAUGACCGGCAACACUGGAACUGAGCCAGGGUCAAGACUCCUACGGGAGGAGGCAGUGGGGAAUAUUGCACAAUGGGCGCAAGCCUGAUGCAGCCAUGCCGCGUGUGUGAAGAAGGCCUUCGGGUUGUAAAGCACUUUCAGCGAGGAGGCGUUACUCGCAGAAGAAGCACCGGCUAACUCCGUGCCAGCAGCCGCGGUAAUAC